UAAUAAAACAAAGGCUGAAAACUCUCUCCGCCCACUUUCCCCAAAUUACACUCACGAAUGGACAAAAUUUCCUCACUGCCCAACUCACAGAAAUCUCCAUAUCCACCCAUUUCGAGUCUCGGAAGGGAGAAAGCAAGCUCCGGUCGGCAUGUGCUUGAAGAUCUCCGGCCGCAAGGAGCCCUAGCGCACUCGCACAUGCAAAUGAAUUUCACAAAUCUUGUGAAAACUCUCAUUUCCACCUAAUCUUAGUCUCGUCUGUGUUUUCUAUUUGAGUUGAUGCUCUGUGAUAUGUUCGCAUCGCAAAAUGGGCUAUAAGAAUUGUGGAAUCUGUCACAGUUGUAGAGUUGAGGGGCAUUUCUUAGCUGACUGUCCAUGGAAACACCAACGCCCAAAUUGGGAGCACAGAUUUGAGCAAAGUUUCAUGGUGGAGGAGACUAAAAAUAUAGGGCGAUUAUUUUUUUGCUACAGUAAGAAAUGUGGAUUUUGGAAAUGGGUUUUCAAAGAAAAAUAAAGCAGCCAAUUGUCUAGAGCUAGCGCUUCUUUGGUUAACUUUGCAACUAACGAAACAUCUGAACAAAUAUCACACAUGUUUCAAUCUCAAGUUCGCAUCUCUGUGAAAGAAGAUCUACAUAUUAUGGUGAACGUAAAGGUGUGCAAGAAAUUGCCAAAAUGAAUUGAGAAGGAAAGGGGUCGACCUAAUUGGUAGCUAUUAAUUGAAGUAGUAGUUAUUACAUAAUCUUUUGUACGAGGUCGGACUACUUUGAGCGAAGGAAUGUAAACUAUGUUUGUAAAUUACGUUAAUUUAUGAAAUGUUAUAUUUCAACUCUUUGUUUGAACAUCGAUUGUUACUUGUAAAUUACCUUUUAGAUUA
Long non-coding RNA from Olea europaea var. sylvestris, 871 nucleotides. RefSeq lists it as uncharacterized. NCBI's taxonomy places the organism in Eukaryota, Viridiplantae, Streptophyta, Magnoliopsida, Lamiales, Oleaceae. The record is from RefSeq and is a predicted model, not a curated record. The transcript has 2 exons.